AGGGAUGUACGCAACUUGGUAGCGUGUUUGCUUUGGGUAUAAAAUGUCACAGGUUCAAGUCCUAUCAUCCAUG
This is a non-coding RNA of Triticum aestivum (bread wheat), 73 nucleotides long. The record is from Rfam. Lineage: Eukaryota; Viridiplantae; Streptophyta; Magnoliopsida; Poales; Poaceae.